AAAGGGUUUUAAGUUUAUUGACUGCGAAAAUUUGUUCAUGUAUAUAAUACACGUAUGUAAAUACAGUCACAUUCGCUUAAACGAUGUCGGAUGCAACGAAGUUUCGUGUAAAAUGAUUCUCGGCAAUACUUUAAAAUUUAAAUUCGACAUAUUUGUAUAAUAUUAUUAAGGCGGUUGAAAGCGAUUCGUUUUUUUCAUAUAUAUUUGGACCAAUAAGCUGGAGUAAAGAGAACAUUACUUACUAGUUGCAGGAUUUCCAUUUCUGUUUUGAAAAAUGAUUUAACUUU
Non-coding RNA from Cinara cedri, 287 nucleotides. The record is from the annotation of a GenBank genome assembly. NCBI's taxonomy places the organism in Eukaryota, Metazoa, Arthropoda, Insecta, Hemiptera, Aphididae.